AUCUAAUUCAAAAUAACUGUGAACUAAAGAUUGAACUCCACGAUUUAACGUAUAAUGUGCUUCUGAUGCGGCAUACGAGAUUAUACUAAUCUAUAUAUACAUUUUUGCAGCCAUUUUAGCAAAUAAAUCCUGGACUUGGACUUAUUUACAAUCUAAUGCAAUUAGCAUUAAAUCUUUUUUCCAAAAUAAUU
RNAcentral lists this small RNA (191 nucleotides) under Arabidopsis thaliana (thale cress). RNAcentral's name for it is "ATSL174240". Lineage: Eukaryota; Viridiplantae; Streptophyta; Magnoliopsida; Brassicales; Brassicaceae. The record is from RNAcentral.